CUGGCGUCCACAGGUGGGGAGAGAACAGCGCUCCCAGAAGCCGGAUGAAAGGAGUCGCUCCGGGUCACGAGCUUGGCAUUUCCCAGCUCCGCCUCCGUGUCCACUCACCUCCAAGGUCAGCCUCUGCAGAGCCACACAACCCGCGGGAGGGACCCCUCCAGGCCCCAGGGGGCUGGCAAGGAGGACUGGGAUGGGACAGCAGCCACCGUGUGGUACAGAAGUGAAUCCUGUGGCCCCCACCUGUCUGGGAGCGAGUCUGGGCUCUGCCGGUGUGAUGCUGGGUGAGAAAACAGGCCCAGAGAAGGUGGGUCCUUGCCCAGGCUCACACAGCUACGGAGCAGUAGAAGCUGGCAUUUGAAACUGAGCCCCAAGACAGAUUCGUGUUGGCAGAUGUAUAAACUGAAUACUGACCCUCCAGAGAGAUCCACGCCCUAAUCCCGGGAACCCCUGUGAAUGUCACCUCCCGAUGGCAAAGGGAUUCUGCAGAUGGGAAGAAGUGAAGGAUCUUGAGAUGGGAACAUUAUCCCCGAUUAUCCAGCUAUAAGUCCCGGGAUCUUCCAGCUCAACCAGCCCAUUUUACUGACGACGUGGAGCCUGAGGCCACAGUUAGGGGUCAACUUGCCCCGUCCCGCCGAGAUGAGUGGCGGGAGGGCGCUGUCUCCUGGCACAUCCUGGGGGUCCUUGCUCUGCUCUUCUGGACUCCAGCCCUGGGCAGCCUGGGCGAAAUCAUCUAGUCCAAACCCAUUUUCCGAGUGAGGAAACUGAGGCCUGGAGUUGUCCGAGAGUUGGACUCGAGUCCCUAAGUGACAGGGGAUGUGCAGGCCCUGAAUCCCCAGGGAGUCCUCUCGGCAAGGCCCUCCCCUCCCCCUCUGGAGCGCCGCUCCUCCCCGUGUAUCCCCAGCAGACAGGGGCCAGCGGGGUCUGGGAAAACCACAUCAGGAGCGGCCCAGCUGUGGUGCAGGAAUUCGAGAGCAGCUCCUUAGUGGCCUUCAGCCUGGGAAAGCUCUGAGGCCUUCCUGUCCCCGCCCGCCUUGCCGCUUAGGGCCAGCCCUGUCCCCAAGGCUGUGAGAAGUCGCCUGGAGGCAGUGUCCAGUGGGGUGGAGGAAAGAGCGGCCUAGAAUGGAGGGACUUGAUCCCCGAUCCUAAGCCAGUUAGUGGCAUUAUCCUGGAUUAUCCUAAACCGAGCUCAGGGCCCUGGGCUUGUCUAGGGGAGCAUAGGUCUCCCUGCCCCCGGCAUGUGGGGGUUCCAGUGGUGCCCUAACACCCAGCGACACAGGCACAGUUCUUACAUAAAGCAUUCACACCCACUGGCACCCUCAGACCUCACAACAACCCUGUAACGGCGAGGCUGCUGCUGUCCCAUUUUACAGAUGGAGAAACUGAGGCUCGGAGAGAGAAAGGGACUCUCCCCAAGUCAAGGUCCUGUGGUGGCAGCACUGGGACUCUGCUAACUCCGUGAGUUCUCGCGAUGACCCUGGACUCGUCUCUGGCAAUUCGGUCCCAGUCUUGCUGUGGGGCCUUGAGUAAUCUCCCUCUCUGAGCCUCGACUCUCCUCUGUGAACUAGGACAUAAUAAUAGUAUCCACCUCAUUGGGGCGCCUGCGGAAUCACCGAGUGCGUGAGCCCCGCGCCUGGCACGCGGUGAGCGCUCCAUCUUCGCUGAGCCUCAUCACCAUCACACUAGCCGAUUGGAUAACCGCAAAUACUACUGCGCGGGGCCAGGAGCCCAGCACAACACGCCCUGCCCCCGGGGCUGGGGGAAGACGCCAAUAAACACACAGGUCCUGCGGGAGGUGAAGGAACGACCACGAGAGCAAGGAGGGGGCUGCCUGGCGUGUUCAAGCAACACUGAAGAGGCCAGUGUGGUCCUAGGGGGUUAGAGACGCGGCAGUGGCAGGAGGAGAAACCAGAGAGGUGGGGGGUGGGGCAGAGCCACCGACCACGGUGGCCUUUGGGCGGACAUCAGCUUUCCUUGAGCCAAGUGGGGAGCCAUCGCAAGGUGUCCUCAUUGUCCACUAAACGCUCAAAGCCUGAAAUGGGCCCUUAGACCCUGGGUCACUGUCUGAGGAGUGGAAUGGCCACCCGCUAGCUAACCACCCUCCUGCGCCCAGGACCCGCCCACGGCCCCGCCCCCUCCCUGCGAUGCUCCAGAACCCUGAGAAUCAGGUGGUCCUAAAGUGUCAGCGCUCAGAGGGACCUUGGAGGCCAUUUGGCUCCAAUUACAGAUGAAGAAAGGAGGCUGGGGCGCGGAGGGGAAGGGGCUUGUCCGGGGCCUCUCAGCGCAUCCGCGGCUGUGCCAGCUGUGACGCCCAAGGCUCCUGCCUCCUGGAGCAGGGCCCCUCCCGCUGCAGAGCCCUCGGUGAACGGGACGUUUUGUUCUUCUGGCCCAGAUCCAAGGAGUCCCCAGGGACACACUCUGGUUUGCCUUUGCCAAAGGCCUCGCCAGCUAAGGGUCCCUUCUAGGCUGUGGGGCUGCAGCCAUGUCUGGCAGAAGCUGCGCCCUCCUGGGGCCGGCCUCCCGCCUGCACCGGCAUUGAGGAGUCCGCGUGCAUGUGAGGAUGGGCACCCUGUGCAGCUCCUCAUCCCAGGCACCCUGCUCCCAGGGCUUCCAUUCCAAGCACAGACAUCGAAACACAAUAAGCAGCCGCUCACUGCCCACUUCCGGGGUCACCCUGUUGGAGCAAGAAGCUCCUGACCUCUCUCCCCACCCCGUGGAUGUUCAUGGUGGUUCUGUAGCUGCCACUACCGGCUCCUCAGCUGCAGUUCAAGGGGAGGGAACACCAGCCAUUCAUACUCUCUGAUCUUGCAUUCAUUCAUCUCUCUAUCUUCUUGCCCAUUGGUCCAUGCAUUCAUCCAUACACCCACCUGCCCAAUUGCCCCACCCACAUAUCUAGCCUUCCAUCCAUCCAUCCAUCCAUCCAUCCAUCCAUCUAUCCAUCCACUGAUCUGAACAGCCACCAGUCUGUCUGAUUGUUACUGGUCCAUCGUCUCAUCCAUCCAACCCGUCCAUCCAGCCAUCCAUCAAUCCAUCC
RNAcentral lists this long non-coding RNA (3031 nucleotides) under Equus caballus (horse). RNAcentral's name for it is "lncRNA (ENSECAG00000054642.1)". Lineage: Eukaryota; Metazoa; Chordata; Mammalia; Perissodactyla; Equidae. The record is from RNAcentral.